Molecule: ribosomal RNA, 522 nt
Filed under: uncultured Glomus
Lineage: Eukaryota; Fungi; Glomeromycota; Glomeromycetes; Glomerales; Glomeraceae
Description: SSU rRNA
Rfam family: Eukaryotic small subunit ribosomal RNA
Source: RNAcentral
AGCAGCCGCGGUAAUUCCAGCUCCAAUAGCGUAUAUUAAAGUUGUUGCAGUUAAAAAGCUCGUAGUUGAAUUUCGGGGUCAGUAGGUCGGUCGUGCCACUGGUAUGAACUGGUUUUACUGAUUCCUCCCUCUUGAAGAACUGUAAUGCCAUUAAUUUGGUGUUGCAGGGAAUCAGGACUGUUACUUUGAAAAAAUUAGAGUGUUUAAAGCAAGCUAACGCUUGAAUACAUUAGCAUGGAAUAAUGAAAUAGGACGUUCGAUCCUAUUUUGUUGGUUUCUAGGAUUGACGUAAUGAUUAAUAGGGAUAGUUGGGGGCAUUAGUAUUCAAUUGUCAGAGGUGAAAUUCUUGGAUUUAUUGAAGACUAACUACUGCGAAAGCAUUUGCCAAGGAUGUUUUCAUUAAUCAAGAACGAAAGUUAGGGGAUCGAAGACGAUCAGAUACCGUCGUAGUCUUAACCAUAAACUAUGCCGACUAGGGAUCGGAUGAUGUUAAUUUUUUAAUGACUCAUUCGGCGCCUUGCG